Molecule: long non-coding RNA, 193 nt
Organism: Melitaea cinxia (Glanville fritillary)
Lineage: Eukaryota; Metazoa; Arthropoda; Insecta; Lepidoptera; Nymphalidae
Exons: 2
Source: RefSeq, a predicted model, not a curated record
CCGUCCGACACAAGUACUCACCAAAGCAGCCGUGCAGCAGGCGAGAAUAAUAUUUCCUGGUUCACGUACGCAUAAAAAAUCUAUGAUUAUGCGUUGAUUUAAAUGGAGCUCAAAGCGUGUGAAUAAAGACUUCAUAAAGGAAAUAGUGACUGCAGAUGGUAAUAAAAGAAAAGUAUAUGUUUUACAUGUAAUA